UAGCUAGUGGUUCAGGUAACGUCUUAUCAGUGCGACUAUCAGUAUCAGACCUGAGGGAGUGAUCGGCCACAUUGUAUCUUAUACACUGUCCAGACUCCUACGGUGUGCAGAAGUGGGGAAGAUUGCACAAUGGGCGAAAGCCAGAUUCAGCAACGCCGCGUGAGUGAUGAAGGCCUUCGGGUCGUAAAACUCUGUCCUCAAGGAAGAUAAUGACGGUACUGGAGGAGGAAGCCCCGGCUAACUACGUGCCAGCAGCCGCGGGAAUACGUAGGGGGCUAGCGUUAUCCGGAGUUACUGGGCGUAAAGGGUGCGUAGGCGGUCUUUCAAGUCAGGAGUGAAAUGCUACAGCUCAACCGGAGUAAGCUCUUGAAACUGGGAGACGUGAGUGCAGGAGAGGAGAGGGGAAUUCCUAGGGUAACGGUGAAAUGCGUAGCGAUGAGGAGGAACACAAGUUGCGAAGGCGG
RNAcentral lists this ribosomal RNA (464 nucleotides) under Clostridioides difficile. Its description in RNAcentral is "bacterial SSU rRNA". It matches the Rfam family "Bacterial small subunit ribosomal RNA", at positions 242 to 724 of the family's 1533-position model. Lineage: Bacteria; Bacillati; Bacillota; Clostridia; Peptostreptococcales; Peptostreptococcaceae. The record is from RNAcentral.